GGACUACUAGGGUUUCUAAUCCUGUUUGAUACCCACGCUUUCGUGCCUCAGCGUCAGUUACAGUUUAGUAAGCUGCCUUCGCAAUCGGUGUUCUGUGGUAUAUCUAUGCAUUUCACCGCUACACACCACAUUCCGCCUACCUCAAAUGUACUCAAGACUAACAGUAUCAACGGCAAUUCUACAGUUAAGCUGCAGGAUUUCACCACUGACUUACUAGUCCGCCUACGCACCCUUUAAACCCAAUAAAUCCGGAUAACGCUCGGAUCCUCCGUAUUACCGCGGCUGCUGGCAC
Molecule: unclassified non-coding RNA, 292 nt
Filed under: uncultured Marinilabiliaceae bacterium
Lineage: Bacteria; Pseudomonadati; Bacteroidota; Bacteroidia; Marinilabiliales; Marinilabiliaceae
Description: contains 16S-23S intergenic spacer region
Source: RNAcentral